CUCCAGAUAGCCUAGUGAUUUAGGCUAUGGAUCGCCAAUCCGGAGAUAACGGGUUCGAUCCCCGUUCCGGUCG
Aedes albopictus (Asian tiger mosquito) is the source of this 73-nucleotide non-coding RNA. The record is from Rfam. Lineage: Eukaryota; Metazoa; Arthropoda; Insecta; Diptera; Culicidae.